Dioscorea cayenensis subsp. rotundata (Guinea yam) is the source of this 3536-nucleotide long non-coding RNA. RefSeq lists it as uncharacterized. The record is from RefSeq and is a predicted model, not a curated record. The transcript is spliced from 2 exons. Lineage: Eukaryota; Viridiplantae; Streptophyta; Magnoliopsida; Dioscoreales; Dioscoreaceae.
UUUUUUUUUUUAUAAUUUUGUUUUAUUUUUUUAAAAUUUUUGAAAUCUUUGCUGUGUUAUGAUUACUGUAUUUGUGAGACGUUGAUGUUCAUCAUCAAUGGCGUUAGGAGGGCAUCCCUUUAUUUUUAUUUCAUUUGUUUUAUAGAAAGUUGCUAGCUUCAUGCUUGCUUUUUUUGGUUUUGCUAGUUUCCGUGACAUUAAAUCCUAAAUUUUGAUUUAUGUGAUUAUUGUUUAGAUUGGGAUGGUAUUCAUGUUGCCUCUCAAUUCUCUAGUUUUGUGCCAAAUUCUUGUAUAUGUGUGUAUUAUUUUUGAAAUCUUUACUAUGUCAUGAUUACUGUUUUUGUGAGAACUUGAUAUUUCUCAUUAACGGCGUUCGGAGGACAUCCCUUGAUUUUUAUUUCAUUUUGUUUUAUGAAAAGUUGCUACCUUUAUGCUUGCUUCUUUUGGUUUUGCUAGUUUCCGUGACACUAAACCCUAAAUUUUGUUUUAUAUAGUUUGUAGAAUUAUUCUUCUUUCCUGGUCUUCAUUCCUAAGUCCUCACUGAAUGAUUUGGAUUAGGAUCAUGUGUGGAGCUUUUCGAUCUGUGAAUUGUUCAAAAAUGUUCAGGGCCGGGUGGGUUUUCAUAUUACUUUUUAUUAAGAACAAAAUUUAAAUCUAGGGAAGGUAUCAUGAGCAAAUUAACUAGUUUUUUUGUUUCCUUUACAAUUUUGUUUUUUUUGUAAAUUCAUUUUUUUGGAAUUAUCUGCUGAUAUUACAUCACCAGAGUAAUUUGUGCAAGGAUUGAAUAUCAAAAGUGGUUAUUACUUCGACUUUAUAAGAAGCACAUUCUUUCAGGAAAUUAAUUUAUUUGUUAUCAAAAUUGCAUUUUUUGUCAAACCCAUUAUUAUAUAAAGGCACAAGUGUGUUGAGGGAUCAACUCCACGUUUGUGCAUGUUUUUGGCAUGUGGCUUGUGCAUGUUAUGUAAAAAACAUAAAAGUUGCCGUAAUUGCUAACAUGAGGCCUAAGUUUAAUUUUUUUUUUUUCCAUUAGAAACUUUACAAACCCAUAAUUUGUUUUUAUGAACUUCAAUUCUUGAAAAUUAAUUGUGUCCUUGUAUUUGUGUUUACUCAUAGGAAGGUUGGUAUUAGAACUCCUUUUGUACUUGUAUUACAUGGAAACAUGCCAAUGACAAGUAAAAUGGUGAUUGUUUGGUCACUAUAUGAUCUACAUUUCUUUUAGGAAAUCAAUUUAUUUUGUGUCAAACUUGCAUUUCUCUUAUGCAACAAAAUGUGCUGAUGAUGACAGCAAAAGGCAUGAGCCACAAUAACAAUUUGCGCAUCAGGUUGAGUUUUGCCUGAGUUAUUGUCGGCAAGGAAGAAUGUGCCAUAAUGCUAAUCUGAGACGUAAGUUUAAAUUGAUUUUUUUUUUUAAUUAGAUACUCUACAAACCCAUCAUUUGUUUUACUGAACUUCAAUUCUUGAAAGGUAUUUAUUUCCUUGUAUCUAUGUUGACUCAUAUGAAGUUUGGUAUUAGAACUUCACUUGUACUUGUCUUGGGUAUAAACAUGCCAAUGAUGACGAUGAAGCACAGUAGCCACAAUAACAAUUUGUGCAUCAGGUUGAUUUCCACCUGAGUUAUUGUUGGUGAGGAUGAAUGUGCCAUAAUGCUAAUUUGAGGCAUGAGUUUUAUAUUUUAAACUAUUUAACUCUAUAAAUAUGUUUAGAUGAUGCCAACAAAGAGAAGUAACCAUAAUAGCACUUGUGUAUCAGGAUGAUUUUAGCUUGACUGGUUGUUGGCAAGGAUGUGAACUAAGUUUUGAAUUUGCAUUUUUAAAUGAUUUAGUUCUAUAAACCCUUACUUAUUUUGUUGAACUCUCGUUCUAGACCAUGAAAGAAGAUCUUGUGUUCUUUAUGUGUGUUUAACUACAACUGUUAUCAAUUAUCUCCAAAUUUUGCUGAUCACUUGGCAUCCUUUAUGGAAGUUAUUCUAAACAUCCAAAUGGUUUAGCUGAGAAUAGGACAGUUUGCAUUCAGAUAAGAAUGCAAGAAUCAUGUAGAUGUAUUCAGAUCAGUUGUAUUAGGGUUUGCAUUUGCCUCAACAUAAACCACAGGAAUCAAUGGGACUUUAAUGAAUUCAAAAUAGGUGGGAAUAUUACAUUUGAGGUUCUUAUCUGAGUAUGAUUUUUAUCUUCUAUGAUAUCUGAAGACUUUACUUUUGUCUCUCUACAUUGUUGCAUACGCAGGCCUUCUCCAGGUUCAACAUUAUAUAUUAAGUUUUUUUCUUGAGCUUUGAAUUUUAUAUUGUGAGAAGUAUCUCAAUCAAUUUCUGUGAAAUGUUAUGUAUUACCUCCUAUGUGCAAUUUCUAUUUAUGGAAUGGUGAAUAGAUGAAGUAAAUGGCGUUGUCUGCCCACUGAACUUCUUAGCCCUGGUGCACUCAAAAUUUCCCCUCGAAAUGAUUAUAAAUUAUUCUGCAUACACUCUCCUCAACAAUGUGAGAAAUUUUUUUAUUUUUAAAUUUGCAGCUCAAAAUAUCAGUUUGAUCGUCAAUUUGAAGGUUUAUGUCAGUGACGUGUCUCAUUGAAAGUAGUUAGAUAUUUUUGGUGGAGUGUCGUUUGCAUUAUCCAUUUCUAGUUAUAAACUCACAAAGGGAAGUUUGUCACGUCUUUUAUUUUUUUGACAAAUAUGUUUUAUCACAUGUUAUAUGCCCUGUAACUUCACUGACUUUUACUGGUCGAUUUGUGAGAUUAAUAUCUUACCCAUACCGUCAAAGUUUCAACAAAGUUUGACUUGUGGUUUAUAGAUGACACUUUGAACGGUUGUUGAAUGAAUUUCAAUCAGUGUUCAAUAUUAUGUUGUUGGGUACAUAAUGAUGACAUUGAUAACCAAAUGAAGAAACUGGAAAUUGAUUAGUAGUUGGUGACUCACAGCUGAAUGAUAGAUAAUACUUUGGCUAUAGCUUGAGACAUCGAUAAUUUGGAUUUCAUUGUUUGCAUCUUUCUGUGAUCGUCGGUAAUUUAGAGGAAGAGCGAGAGCAGGUAUGGGACCUCCAGGCGGACCUGGCGGCCCCGGUGGCCCUCCCGGGCCACCCGGUUGGGGGCCUGGGCCGGGAGGACCGCCGGGUUUCUGUUUUCCGUGCCAAUCUUGCUUGUACUUCCUGUGUUGCUGUUGUUUGUUCAGAGAAUGUUGUGGUCCUUUGUUUGGUGGUCCUCCAGGCCCUCCACCCUUUUAAAGUUGUGUUGUGUUAAUAAAUUACAAUAAUUUUUACAUGAAUUAUAAUGUUCAUGUAAUCUCAAUCUAUGUGUGUGUGCAUAUAUUUUGGUGAUUACAGUCACUACAUGUAUGAAAGUAUGAUGAUAAUUAUGUGAAAUUGUUGAACUGAAUAGUAGUUUUACUUUGAUUGAUAUGAGUUAUAAAAUUUACAUGAAAUAUAAUGUUCAUGUAAAGCUCAAUCUAUGUGUGUGUAUGCAUAUGUUUUGAUGAUUUCAGUCCUAUCCAUGUAUUAAGUAUGAUGUAAUGAAGACAUUGUUGAAUUGAAAGAGUCGUUAAUUUUGAUUGA